This 264-nucleotide ribosomal RNA is filed under the name uncultured archaeon. RNAcentral's name for it is "partial 16S ribosomal RNA". It matches the Rfam family "Archaeal small subunit ribosomal RNA", at positions 719 to 982 of the family's 1478-position model. The record is from RNAcentral.
ACACGACUACAUUAGAUACCCGUGUAGUCCCAGCCCUAAACGAUGCGCGUUAGGUGUAUCGGUGACCACGAGUCACCGAGGUGCCGAAGGGAAACCGUGAAACGUGCCGCCUGGGAAGUACGGUCGCAAGGCUGAAACUUAAAGGAAUUGGCGGGGAGCACCACAACGGGUGGAGCCUGCGGUUUAAUUGGACUCAACGCCGGGAAGCUCACCGGAUAAGACAGCGGAAUGAUUGCCGGGCUGAAGACUCUGCAUGACUAGCUG